Molecule: long non-coding RNA, 5214 nt
Filed under: Sus scrofa (pig)
Lineage: Eukaryota; Metazoa; Chordata; Mammalia; Artiodactyla; Suidae
Description: lncRNA (ENSSSCG00025046873.1)
Source: RNAcentral
GCCGCCGCGGAGCGCGGGCGCCCUCGUGAGGCUGGGCUGCGUCGCCAGCGGCAGCGUGAAGCGGGCAGCCCGGUCUGCGCCGGGGCCUGGGCCUGGAGUCCGGUGUGGUCGGGCGUUCGACUCGCGCGACUCCCCGCCCGAGGGCCCACCGGGCUCCGGCUGGAAGCCGCCCAGGGUGCGGCAGCGAAACUUCGGCCCGGUUGCAACCACAGUGGCGUUUAGGCCGGACGCUCUUGCUCCCGUUUCACGGAGCGGUCGAAAUCCGUAGACGUUUCUAAUGCGUUCUACCGGUAGCCCAGCCCUCUUCGUCCUCAGCCUCUAUUCGUGCUCACUUUUCUCCCAGGCAGGUAGCUCCAGGGGCCUCCUGUCUCUCUCCUCCCCACCCUAUCCCGUUUUCCCUUGAGCAUCCCCUGCUGCUUGCCAGGUGUGCCUUUAGUGAGAACCCGAUCUUUCCAGCACUUUUUUUCCUGCUGGUGAAGACAAACCCACAUGCUUUUAGUUUUCAGGGUUUUGUUAUCGAUCAGUUUCAUCCAUAGGUAGUGCUUACAUAGCACGUGCUACGUGCCAGCCAUGAUGUUUAGUGGGUUUAUGUGCAUUAAUUCACCCAGUCUUUGGAACAGCUCUAAACUUAAUCUUAUUAUACUAUCACUAAUUUGCAAAUCAGAAAACUGAGAUCUGAGGCAAAUUAAGUAAAUUGACUAAAGUUAUACAGACAACACACUGCCUGAUCAUGAACUGAAUUAUCUUUAAAAUUAUUAUUGGUACAUAAUCAAAGCAAAGUAUCACAAAGUUUCAGAAUUAUUCAAUAGAACGUAACACUUCUGGGGAAAUGCAUCUCGCUGAAAUGGAUAUUGUUGCUUUUUAAAAUUCAUAAAUCUGUGAAUGAUUAUAUCUUAUUGCUGGGACGGGAAGGAUUGAGCAUCAAUACCACUCUUAAGUUUUAGUUUUUAUAACUGUAUGGCCUUAGAAACGGUGUAUAAACAAGUACUAUACCUGGUAAUCCUAAUCCUACUGUAGCAACGUUGUAACUGAGCAGGGUCCUGUGAGGCUCCUGGGCACACAAGCCUUUCUGUGUCCUUCAUUUCCCGUUUUUAAGGAAUAAGCUUCAGGCUCCAUGACCUUCCCUGAGCUCCAAAGGGCAGUUGAUAAUCAGGGCAGGAAAGGGAUGCAGAGAUCAGGGAGCAGCAGUCGAGAGACAAUAAUGCAGCCUUGGGGCAGGGCCCUGGUUCCUCCUCAAGGAAUAUACAUAACAAUGUCUUGGAGCCUUUUUGCAGAACUAAAAUCCCCAACCAAGGGAAGAACUGCUUGAUGAAGGAGGACCUCCAGAACCAGUCCUGGGCUGCUAAUUAUUUCUCAGCUUUGAUCCUUAUCUGCAGCCUUAUUUUCCACUCCCCAAAGUAUAAAACCACCCCCUAAUCUCUCCCAAGGAGGGCACAGUCUUUAAGGCAUUGGUCUGCUGUGCCCUCCUUUACCUGGCAAAGCAAUAAAGCUCUCUUUUUCUCCUUCACCUAAAACUCUGUCUCCAUUUCUCUCCACACCAGUCCCCCUAUAGGUUAGCAGAGGAUUGGAGGAAUCUUUUAGAGGCCAGACUGCUGAGAGUUUCCUGCCAUGGGGCCGGCCCUGAGCAGAGCUGACUGGCCAUCUUGGAAGUUGGAACUCCAGGGUGGAAGAGUGGUUGGUAGGCAGCUCUCACUGGCCUUGGGGGGACUCCUUCCUUUCCCUCUGCUCCUGCCGACCAGAACUUCCCACUUCAAGAAGACUUUUUGGGAAGAGGAAAAGUAGCAUCUGUGAUUUCGAGACACCUCUGCCAGCAUCUGGAUGGGAUUCAGAAUUGGGAAGGCAAAGUAAUCAUACCGAUAAAAAGAGGGAGGAUUUUGGACCUCCAUGAAGAUACUGAAGUGGGGGGGGGGCAGGGAGAGAGGGUGUUUAUCUGCUUGCCUGGCUGGCACCGUUGCUGUCAUCGUUUCCUUACAUCUUCACCACGACAAGACUGUGUCGUUCGAGCCAUCUUGAGAAGGAGAAGAUGAAAGCUGGGAGGCCGUGAACAUCUCGCCCAGAUUUAUGUUGCUGCAAAAAGAAUUGAAAUUGGGAGGCAGAUUGCAUCCAAAGCUGGAAUAUUUCCAUGUGCUCUUCCCUACACCAUCCUAAAGACGUGGAAGGCAGGGCCUCCCCUCCCUUCCGUGCACCUUCUUGCCCCCGCCCCUGUGGUCUCUGUAUCUGCACUAAGAUGAAUGUGCUCUGGCCUCUCCCACCUCACACAGAGCAAGGAGAAAAGGCAACAGCCUCAAAUCUGCCCAAUAUUCCACGGAAGCUGGUCUUUCUUCUACAUGGACAGUGAUUCCCUUUGAAAAGGCAGCAACAUUGAACUGCCCCAGCUUCCUGGCUAUGCCCACCGAUGAAGGUGACAAUCACGAUGCAGAAAUGGACAGUGGGGAGCGUUGGAUGGAAUAAUUACAAUAGUGAACAAAGAACAGCGGUGAAGACAUUUUACCCAAACAUCUUACUUGCUGUUGGAAGUCUGGCUUGACCCAAUGUGAGGCCCUCUUCUCCAUUCCAGAUCCAGGACACCAUUCCCUGAAGGAGCCAUCAGGGGCCUGUGGGAUAGAGGCCAUUGCCGGGGAUGCCCUGAUAGAGGUCCUUCAACAAAUAACAAGUAAGAGGCUGCAGUUUCUGCAACGAGAGAUGAUGGGGCUGAAAUGUCAGCAGGACAGACCAGGAUGGAAGAUCAAUCACGGAGCGGUUCCCCAUGCUGUGAGCUCCCCCAGGCAAAGGCUGUACCUUUUGUUUUCCUCAGCACCUCUCUUAGAACCCAGAACAAUGUCCAGAGGAGAACAGGCAUUCAGACCCUAUUUCCAUCUCUAUUCUGGGACCAUGUGGAAUCAGAGAUAAAUUAGACCACAUCUUUGUCCUAGGAGUUCACAGUCAAGCUGAGGCGGACAGACUGACAAAUUGAUAAAUGCUUCAACAUUGUCUUCUCUUAUUCAGGCCAAACGUCAUUAGCUGAUCCUCAGAUUCCCUCCCUGAACAGGAAAGCACAGAUCGGAUAGCACGGUGCCAGGCGGGGACCGACCCAUGCUGAACAAGCUCGAAGGUCAUUUCUCUCAUGUAUGUUUAUAAGGAAAACACUGAUCCUCUGAGUAUGUUUCCCUUGUUCACACAGAGGCUCCAAGAAGGUCAAAUAAGUCUCAGAUGAUGCUUAACGAGUACAAAGCCCGAACGAAGUGGCUGGAUGUCCAUUAGGAACAGCACUGUUUCCCUUUUCUGCUCUGGGAAGGAAUCCAACAGGUACUUCCCCUGGGUCAAGCCCUAAUGGCAAAUUUUUCAGCAAAAGAGGAGGUUUUUUUCAAAUUUCUUGUCCAGAUUGCUGAGCUCUUAUCAUAUCGACAGGUUCCCAAAUGGACAGAAAGACUUAGAAAUUCCAGAGUAAUUAUCUUGCUUGAGUGUAGCUAAUAUUGAAAAUGGAAACUUUUCUCAUGGAUUUUUAAAAAUAAUAUCUUAUCAUUCACCCUUCAUUAGGUGUGAAUAACUACUGGCAGGAUGUAUUUUAGCAGAAUGAAUGUUAUCUAGUAAGGUAUCCAGAAAAAGCUGAUGUCACAUGCACACUUGCCUUAACCUCCCACUCUUUCCCCCAGUAUCACCUAUCACAGGCAUUGAGGCUCCAACCAAACUGCUGAUGCUCUUCCCUUAGCUUAGAGUACUUUUCCCAGUGCUGCUUGUUCAAAUCUACUUUUCCAUCAAGAGUAACCUCAAAUUCCACUAUUUCUAAGGAGACUUCUCUCUUUCUCCAGUGAAGAAGGGAUAAUUUCUUCUUUCUUCACAGGUCCUUAAUUAUUCUUCCUAAGCCUCUCUUAAAACACUUAGAUGUCUCAGCUGUCCUAAAAAUCUGAGUUUCUUGAGGCCAGGACUUGCAUCUUAACGUCUUGGUAUCUUUCAUCCUUGGAAGGCAAUAUAGCAUACGGUCACGGGAUCAGGAUCCUGGGUACAAACUGGGUGCUACUACUAACCAGCUGUGUGAUUGUAGGCAAUUCCUGGCAUAUUGUAAUCACUCAACAAAUGUCCCCAUUUACUAUUUAUAUUCUUCAUAACACACAGGACAAUACAUAGUAUCCAUUCUCAGCUCAGUCAAUGUUUACUGAAUGAAUAAAUGAGAAAGCAAAUGAAAAGUAGUUUGUUGUUGAGUGUUUGUUAAGGGAAUGAAUAAUUUAAUAGAUUUGGAAGAAAAUUUGUCAAACAUACUGCUUUUCACUGAACCAAAACAUAUUUCUACAAAUGUUAUGCUUAACCUUCUCCUGGGUCUCUCCUCAAUUCAUUAUUCCUUGAAGCACCCUUCCCUUAGAACCAUCUACCCAUAAACUUAUAUAAUAUUUUAUUUUUGUUUCUUUUAAGAGUGACUACUUUAUGCUAAAGAGCUGCAUUAAGCUUUUGCAGAUUGAAAGAAGAGGAUUUCUUUACUUGUCUGUAGAUCAGGCUGGUUUUCUAUGAGCAGGCAGAGGGAUCUUUGCUACAUUUAUAAUCAUAUAUUUUCUGAGUAGACAAGAUCCAGACGAAAUUCAGGAAGGUUCCUAGGUAUCAUGGCUCUUUUAACUAUAUGAGUCAGCAAUCCCACUCCUGCACAUCUAUUUGAAGAAAACCAUAAUUUGAAAAGAUACAUACACCCUAAUGUUCAUUGCAGCACUAUUUACAAUAGCCAAGAUGUGGGAGCAACCUAAAUGUCCAUUGACAGAGGAAUGGAUAAAGAAGGUGUGGUACACAUAUACAAUGGAAUAUCAGCCAUGAAAAAGAAUGAAACAAUGUCAUUUGCAGCAACAUGGAAGGGCAUAGAGAUUUUCAUACUAAAUGAAGUCAGUCAGACCGUGAAAGACAAACAUCAUAUGAUAUCACUUAUAUGUAGAAUCUAAGAGAAAUAUACAAAUGAACUUAUUUGCAGAACAGAAACAGGUCACAGACUUUGAAAACAAACUUAUGGUUACCAAAGGAGAUGGGUAGGGGGGAGGGAUGGACUGGGGUUUGGGACUGGUGUAUGCCCACUGUUGUAUGUGGAAUGACUGGCCAAUGGGGACCUGCUGAAUAGCACAGAGAACUCUACCCAAUAUUCUGUGAUAAUCUAUAUGAGAAAAGAAUCUGAAAGAGAAUGGAUGUGUGUAUAUUUAUAACUCAAUCACUUUGUUGUACAGCAGAGAUUAUCACAACAUUGUAAAUCAAAUAUACUUCAAU